AUUUAACUACCACCGGGUAGUGAUGCUGAUAAGCAUUCAUUUACACAUCGUUAGGUCUUAGAAGAUGUGUAAAUGAGUGCUUGUUUUUU
RNAcentral lists this non-coding RNA (89 nucleotides) under unclassified sequences. The record is from RNAcentral.